Bradysia coprophila is the source of this 169-nucleotide long non-coding RNA. The record is from RefSeq and is a predicted model, not a curated record. Lineage: Eukaryota; Metazoa; Arthropoda; Insecta; Diptera; Sciaridae.
GUUGUACGUUUAAAUAAUCAUUUGCGCAAUGCUGAAGACAAACGAGGCAUCGAAAACGUAUUUCGAUCAAAAUUCUCUUUGUUCUUUGACACUUAACGAAACUAUAAGAAAGAGAAUUUUGAUCGAAAUACGUUUUCGAUGUCUCGUUUGUCUUCAGCAUUAAUCAAAU